CAAACCAUACGGCCUCCUUCAAGCAUUACCCAUUCCCACCCAUACAUGGGAAGAUAUAACCAUGGACUUUAUAACCCACUUACCGCCAUCUAAUGGUAAAACCGCCAUUUGGGUUCUAGAUGAUCGGCUCUCAAAGUUUGCCCAUUUUAUCGCUUUACCUAAUCACUUCACAUCUAUAUCACUCGCAACAAUCUUCCUCCGAGAAAUCUACCGUAUCCAUGGCCUCCCCAAGACAAUUAUCUCAGAUAGAGAUCCACUCUUUCUAAGCCAAUUUUGGACUCAACUCUUCAAACAACUAGGCACCAAACUGAAACACUCGAGUGCCUACCACCCGCAAGCCGACGGACAAACCGAAGUGGUCAACAGAUGCCUCGAAUCCUACCUCCGUGCUUUCACCUAUGAUGAACCCCGCUCUUGGCAACGAUUCCUCUACCUUGCAGAGUUUUGGUAUAAUACGAGUUUUCAUUCAUCCAUCCAAAUGACCCCCUUUAAAGCCAUGUAUGGAAGGGAUGCCACUACAAUUCACGACUACACAUCGGGGAUGAAUCGUACAGCCUCUAUCGACAACUCCCUGUUAGAACACCAACGCAUCAUCGAUCUUCUCAAAGUCAAUCUCAGCCAAACCCGCACCAGAAUGAUCAAACAGGCAAACAAGAAACGUCAAGACAAGCAAUUUUCAGUUGGAGAAUUGGUUUAUCUUCGCUUACGAAACUAUCGUCAACACUCAGUAGUUUCGCGAGAAAAUCAAAAGCUAUCCAAACAAUAUUUUGGACCCUACAAAAUACUCGAACGAAUCGGUCCAGUGGCGUAUCGACUACAAUUACCAGAAACUUCCAAUGUACACCCAGUUUUCCAUGUGUCCCUAUUGAAAACCUGUCACACCACAGAAGUCUCACACGAGUUUCCAACUGAAUGGAUCAACGAUCUCCAAGCCACAACAACAACUCCAGCACAGGUCAUUAAUCAACACCAACUCCAGUCAGGGAUUCAACAAGUACUCAUUAAAUGGACCGACAAAGAUAUUUCUGAAGCCACAUGGGAAGACGCAGAAGAGAUCAAACUCAGGUUCCCGGAUUUUCCUUCCGGACUCGAGGACGAGUCCAAUUUGGAGAAUGGGGGUAUUGAUACAGCCCAUUCAGCAGCCCAAGAACAGGCCCGACUGGAAGACCCACAAGCUACUAGUCGACCUCGAAGGAUCAUCAAGAAACCCAACAGAUACUUGGAAGAACUAUGAGCUUUUACUCAGUCAACUAGUCACAUAGGAUUCUCUUUAAUUCCACACAUGUUGCAUGCAUUCCUAAGAUGUUGGGUUCCACUAUACACCCACGUCCCUAGAUAUUAGUAGCAUUAGUUCAAUCAUUUUUUAUUUAAGCAUUGUAAGUUCAUAUGAAAAGGAAAAACACAGAAAAUUGCUCCCGUCUUGCUUCUCUCUCUGACAUUCUCUGGAGGUUAACCACCUCGAAUUAGGUUCUAUCACAUACCUAGAGAGUAAAUAUUUAUCUAAGCAUAAGACAUGUAUUAUAAAUUAUUAAAUUAAAAAAAUCAGAUUAAUACUUUUAUAAGAUAGUAGCCCGCAAACAUUUCAAUAUGUACAACAUAUAAGAUACAAUUCAAUUUUAUAAUCAAUAAUAAUGUUUACUUAAUAAUCGUUUCGCUAACGUCCAUAAUUUUGAAUGGAUGAGUAAAUAAAUAAUGGGGGUGGACAAGGAAGAUGUAGGGGGUCAGUUGUGGGACGAAAAUAAUAUUAACAAUUUUGAUACCAACAAAAU
This 1769-nucleotide long non-coding RNA is filed under the name Lactuca sativa (garden lettuce). RNAcentral's name for it is "long non-coding RNA (LSAT_LNC009352)". The record is from RNAcentral. Lineage: Eukaryota; Viridiplantae; Streptophyta; Magnoliopsida; Asterales; Asteraceae.